GAUGAACGCUGGCGGCGUGCCUAAUACAUGCAAGUCGAGCGAACAGAUGAGGAGCUUGCUCCUCUGACGUUAGCGGCGGACGGGUGAGUAACACGUGGAUAACCUACCUAUAAGACUGGGAUAAUUUCGGGAAACCGGAGCUAAUACCGGAUAAUAUAUUGAACUGCAUGGUGCAAUAGUGAAAGAAGCUUUUGCUGUCACUUAUAGAUGGAUCCGGGCCGCAUGAGCUAGUUGGUAAGGUAACGGCUUACCAAGGCAACGAUGCGUAGCCGACCUGAGAGGGUGAUCGGCCACACUGGAACUGAGACACGUUCCAGACUCCUACGGGAGGCAGCAGUAGGGAAUCUUCCGCGAUGGGCGAAAGCCUGACGGAGCAACACCGCGUGAGUGAUGAAGGUCUUCGGAUCGUAAAACUCUGUUAUUAGGAAAGAACAAAUGUGUAAGUAACUAUGCACGUCUUGACGGUACCUAAUCAAAAAGCCACGGCUAACUACGUG
This 497-nucleotide ribosomal RNA is filed under the name uncultured bacterium. Its description in RNAcentral is "partial 16S ribosomal RNA". It matches the Rfam family "Bacterial small subunit ribosomal RNA", at positions 28 to 507 of the family's 1533-position model. The record is from RNAcentral.